CCCUUGCUAAGGGGAGCAUCAGACAUCCCUAGGCUUACAAGUCCCUGGUGUAAUAAGGUGAACUAUGGAAAGCUAUGAUUUGAGGAAAGUUCCCUCUGACUGAAAGAGUUCUUCAAAUAUGAAGAAUGUAACACUUAUGGGGCACCUACUCAUUGCAAAACACUCUACUAGGGGCUUUCACCUGUAUGUUUAACUCAUUUUGUUGAUUUUUUUUUUUUAAGCCCGAAUUUCUGAGAGGUUAAGGAACUUGUCUGAUGUCCCACAGCUGGUGGUGGCGUCUCUGGGAUUCUGACUUUUCCACUGACCAUAACAUGCAUCUGGUCUAAAUUGAGCAGACCACCCAGGAGGAUGUUGGAGUAAAAAGAAAUGAGAAGGGGGUGGGGAGAGGAAUGGGCAUAGAAUAAAAAGGUAGAAACCCUUGGGAUCAAAGGAUGCAACUGAAAGAGCACCAAAAUAUGCAUCAUUUUUUUUUUAUAUGUUGCCUGCUACCCAAAAUUGGGAUGCCUCUGUGGUAUCAACUUUGACAUUUAAAGAAAGGGCAUAAGAUUAGAUCAUUCAACCAUAAGUGGAAGGAAGAAACAAAAUAAAAUAAAACCUUAGAAUUCCCUUUGAAGUUGAUCAGGUGUCAAGGCAGUGAUUUGAUUUUCUUUUACAAACUUUCUUUUUCCAGAAAAAUUUUUACUGUGGGUUUGGAGAGGUGUUUACAAUAAAUUCAUAGCAGAGCUCCAAAAGGGCCCACUCCAUCUAAACUCCUCUGUCUCAGCAGAUUAUUGAAGAAGAUUGGAUUAAAAGGCUUGAAGCGACAGUGCAUGGCCAGAACCAGCCAGACCUUUGGAGUUCAAGAACUCGAGAGGUGGGUGAAAACUGCCAUUGCCUCCACAGACUGUCUUCUCCCUUGGAGCUGUAAGAAAACCUGAGUCACCAGGGCUGGGAAACCUGCACCACUGAGACGAGCACAGCCUCUGCCAGCAUGCAAGUGGCCGCUGUCAGGACACAUGGACUGAAAGUGGUUUGUCAGCUGCUCCAUUAGGUUUUUUUUACCCAUAUGUUUGCUACCUUUCUUUCCUUGAUUUAAAAAUAGGGAGGGGGAGCAGUCUCAGCUGUCUUCAGCUGCUAGGGAGAUUUUUUUCCCCUCCUGAGCUACUGUUUCCCCCAACCCGAGCCUUUCUCUCUUAUUGUACCCACCCUUUCUGAUGAAGUCAUCAAAGCAAAGAUUGCAUAACUGAUGCAUAGGCCUAUCUUGUGUUAUACUGGGAGACAGGCCAAUGUUUCCAUUAAUAGACAAGAGCACCACCACGCUGCCAAAUGGAGCUCUCUGCUGCAACCACUACAAGACAGGAAGAAGGGAAGGGAAGCUGAGUGCUCAGGGAAGGCUGUGGAGGGAAGGCAAGGGCACUUCCGCCAUCAUCUCCAGAACCACCACAGCCUUGGGAGGGGGGCUGAGAGAGAUCAGUGCUGACUGCCUGAGACGAUCCCGUCCACGGUGUCCCCAUGUUCUUCCUUCCUUCCAGAGGCUGUGAGAGGGAGGGCCCAUGUCAGCCUGCUCUGCCGGUUUCCCGACUGCUAAACCUGUCUGUGGGAAGCCGGGUUUGACCAUGUGAUGCUGAGGCUCUGAGAGGAGGGCUGCCCUUUUCCCCACCCUCGGCCCCCAUUCCUAUGAGUAGAAGCCUGCCCAGCUGCGGUGGUGGGGUCUGAGGAGGCUAGGACUUAGAGCAGGGAAAAACACAAGGAAGCAGAAAGAAAAACAGAAACACUUAGAAAUCUGGGAUUGGUACUUCUCCUUAUGUAAAGAUUGUGGCUGACGACCAGCUUCUUAGAGGAAGCAAGUCUAGGAGAAGGGCUCAUACCUGGUCCGUGAUGGCCUAUGGGGGAUCAGGGCAUAAGACCACCUGACCCUGGGCCUUGCAUCCGCAAGAACCUUGAGUUUAGAUUUUUAGACAUAUUCUUCAAACAAGGUUUUACAUAUACAGUCACUGAGAAAUCCUGAGAGGAUUGAAAAAUAGCAUCUAUUUUACAGCUUUAAAUUGUGCCCUGAGCUGAGCGUGGUGGCUCACUCCUGUAAUCCCAGCACUUUGGGAGGCUGAGGUAGGAGGACUGCUUGAGUUCAGUUCAGGACCAUCCUGGGCAACAGCAAGACCUCAUCUCUACUAAAAAUAAAAAAAUCAGCUGGGCAUGGUGGUGUGCACCUGUAGUCCCAGUUACUCAGGAGGCUGAGGUGGGAGGAUCGCUUGAGCCUGGGAGGUUGAGGCUGCAGUGAGCUGUGAUUGUGCCACUGCACUCCAGCCUGGGUGACAGAGUGAGACAAUUCUGCCCUGUUAUUAGAUCGGGCUGCUCUAAGUCCAUUAUCAAUCAACAUUCUUUAUACGUCCUGUGUUUAUUUUGUGCACAGUGUAAUUGCCCUAUGCUGUAUUUUUAAAAAUAAAAACAUUGCAUUUAAAAAAA
Symphalangus syndactylus (siamang) is the source of this 2442-nucleotide long non-coding RNA. RefSeq lists it as uncharacterized. Lineage: Eukaryota; Metazoa; Chordata; Mammalia; Primates; Hylobatidae. The record is from RefSeq and is a predicted model, not a curated record.